This 1480-nucleotide ribosomal RNA is filed under the name Synechococcus sp. MIT S9504. RNAcentral's name for it is "bacterial SSU rRNA". It matches the Rfam family "Bacterial small subunit ribosomal RNA". The record is from RNAcentral. RNAcentral also lists the same sequence under 2 other names. Lineage: Bacteria; Bacillati; Cyanobacteriota; Cyanophyceae; Synechococcales; Synechococcaceae.
ACGGAGAGUUUGAUCCUGGCUCAGGAUGAACGCUGGCGGCGUGCUUAACACAUGCAAGUCGAACGAACCUUCGGGUUAGUGGCGGACGGGUGAGUAACGCGUGGGAAUCUGCCCUCAGGAGGGGGAUAACGGUUGGAAACGACCGCUAAUACCCCAUAUGCCGAGAGGUGAAAUGAAUUUCGCCUGAGGAUGAGCCCGCGUCUGAUUAGCUAGUUGGUGAGGUAAGAGCUCACCAAGGCAUCGAUCAGUAGCUGGUCUGAGAGGAUGAUCAGCCACACUGGGACUGAGACACGGCCCAGACUCCUACGGGAGGCAGCAGUGGGGAAUUUUCCGCAAUGGGCGAAAGCCUGACGGAGCAACGCCGCGUGAGGGAUGAAGGCCUCUGGGCUGUAAACCUCUUUUCUCAAGGAAGAAGAUCUGACGGUACUUGAGGAAUAAGCCACGGCUAAUUCCGUGCCAGCAGCCGCGGUAAUACGGGAGUGGCAAGCGUUAUCCGGAAUUAUUGGGCGUAAAGCGUCCGCAGGCGGCCUUUCAAGUCUGCUGUUAAAGCGUGGAGCUUAACUCCAUCAUGGCAGUGGAAACUGUUGGGCUUGAGUGUGGUAGGGGCAGAGGGAAUUCCCGGUGUAGCGGUGAAAUGCGUAGAUAUCGGGAAGAACACCAGUGGCGAAGGCGCUCUGCUGGGCCAUAACUGACGCUCAUGGACGAAAGCCAGGGGAGCGAAAGGGAUUAGAUACCCCUGUAGUCCUGGCCGUAAACGAUGAACACUAGGUGUCGGGGGAAUCGACCCCCUCGGUGUCGUAGCCAACGCGUUAAGUGUUCCGCCUGGGGAGUACGCACGCAAGUGUGAAACUCAAAGGAAUUGACGGGGGCCCGCACAAGCGGUGGAGUAUGUGGUUUAAUUCGAUGCAACGCGAAGAACCUUACCAGGGUUUGACAUCCUGCGAAUCUCUUGGAAACGAGAGAGUGCCCUCGGGAACGCAGUGACAGGUGGUGCAUGGCUGUCGUCAGCUCGUGUCGUGAGAUGUUGGGUUAAGUCCCGCAACGAGCGCAACCCACGUCUUUAGUUGCCAGCAUUUAGUUGGGCACUCUAGAGAGACCGCCGGUGAUAAACCGGAGGAAGGUGUGGAUGACGUCAAGUCAUCAUGCCCCUUACAUCCUGGGCUACACACGUACUACAAUGCUACGGACAAAGAGCAGCAAGUUCGCGAGGACAAGCAAAUCUCAUAAACCGUGGCUCAGUUCAGAUCGUAGGCUGCAACUCGCCUACGUGAAGGAGGAAUCGCUAGUAAUCGCAGGUCAGCAUACUGCGGUGAAUACGUUCCCGGGCCUUGUACACACCGCCCGUCACACCAUGGAAGUUGGCCACGCCCGAAGCCGUUACUCCAACCCUUGUGGAGGAGGACGUCGAAGGUGGGGCUGAUGACUGGGGUGAAGUCGUAACAAGGUAGCCGUACCGGAAGGUGCGGCUGGAUCACCUCCU